GACGAACGCUGGCGGCGUGCUUAACACAUGCAAGUCGAACGAUGAAGCCGGAGCUUGCUCCGGUGGAUUAGUGGCGAACGGGUGAGUAACACGUGAGCAAUCUGCCCUUGACUCUGGGAUAACUGCGGGAAACUGUAGCUAAUACCGGAUACGACACCUUGGGGCAUCCCAGGGUGUGGAAAGAAUUUCGGUCAAGGAUGAGCUCGCGGCCUAUCAGCUAGUUGGUGAGGUAAUGGCUCACCAAGGCGACGACGGGUAGCCGGCCUGAGAGGGGGACCGGCCACCAUGGAACUGAGGCACGGUCCAGACUCCUACGGGAGGCAGCAGUGGGGAAUAUUGCACAAUGGGCGAAAGCCUGAUGCAGCAACGCCGCGUGAGGGAUGAAGGCCUUCGGGUUGUAAACCUCUUUUAGCAGGGAAGAAGCGAAAGUGACGGUACCUGCAGAAAAAGCACCGGCUAACUACGUGCCAGCCGCCGCCGUAA
RNAcentral lists this ribosomal RNA (483 nucleotides) under uncultured bacterium. RNAcentral describes it as "partial 16S ribosomal RNA". It matches the Rfam family "Bacterial small subunit ribosomal RNA", at positions 28 to 523 of the family's 1533-position model. The record is from RNAcentral.